This 492-nucleotide ribosomal RNA is filed under the name uncultured Desulfobulbus sp. Its description in RNAcentral is "bacterial SSU rRNA". It matches the Rfam family "Bacterial small subunit ribosomal RNA", at positions 894 to 1382 of the family's 1533-position model. The record is from RNAcentral. Lineage: Bacteria; Pseudomonadati; Thermodesulfobacteriota; Desulfobulbia; Desulfobulbales; Desulfobulbaceae.
CAGAAACUCAAAUGAAUUGACGGGGCCCGCACAAGCGGUGGAGUAUGUGGUUUAAUCGAUGCAACGCGAAGAACCUUACCUGGUCUUGACAUCCCGGAGACCCUUAGGAAACUAGGGGGUGCUUCCAUCUGGAAGAAUCUGGAGACAGGUGCUGCAUGGCUGUCGUCAGCUCGUGUCGUGAGAUGUUGGGUUAAGUCCCGCAACGAGCGCAACCCUUGCCUUUAGUUGCCAGCAGUUCGGCUGGGCACUCUAAAGGGACUGCCGGUGUUAAACCGGAGGAAGGUGGGGAUGACGUCAAGUCCUCAUGGCCUUUAUGACCAGGGCUACACACGUACUACAAUGGCCGAUACAAAGGGCAGCGACACUGCGAGGUGAAGCCAAUCCCGUAAAAUCGGUCUCAGUCCGGAUUGGAGUCUGCAACUCGACUCCAUGAAGUUGGAAUCGCUAGUAAUCGUGGAUCAGCAUGCCACGGUGAAUACGUUCCCGGGCCUU